GGAAGGAUCAUUAUUGAACAGAGAAGAGGGGGCAAGAUGGAGAGUCAAAGAGACUGUUGCUGGCACUCUUGAGUGUAUGUGCACGUCCCUCAACUUGAUGUCAGACCCCUCAUCUCAUCCUCAUCUCACACCUGUGCACUUUUUGUAGGCCCUCGAAAGAGGAUCUAUGUCUUUAUUACAUCACACCCGUCGUAUGUCUAGAAUGUCUACAUCGUGUGUCAUAGACCCAUCGGAAGGCGGAUUGGUUGAUGCAUGAUAAUAAAUUACAACUUUCAGCAACGGAUCUCUUGGCUCUCGCAUCGAUGAAGAACGCAGCGAAUUGCGAUAAGUAAUGUGAAUUGCAGAUUUCCAGUGAAUCAUCGAAUCUUUGAACGCACCUUGCGCUCCUUGGUAUUCCGAGGAGCAUGCCUGUUUGAGUGUCACUUUAUUAUCAACCAUGCCUUGAUCGAUUUCAAGUGCAUGGCUUGGAUAUGGGGGCUGCUGGCUGUGAAAGCGGUCAGCUCUCCUUAAAUGCAUUAGCAAGGGGGUGUGCCAUGGUCUUUUGGAUGUGCACGGCCUUCAACGUGAUAAUGAUCGUUGUGGCUGGAGCGUCUGUCUUGGAGCAUGGAUGAACAGCCUGUUUUGCUUCUAAUCCAGACUCUCUUGUCUUGUCUUGCCAGCCAGAGGCACUGCUAGCUAUUAGUCCCACCAGCUUACUAGUUAGUCUAUUAAGACCAUGCGCUUGCAUGGGAUGAACGACAAGCCAGCAAAAAGGGGGGUGAACGCAGCAAGGCAGAUGGCAAUAAAGCUAGACUUGAGAUCAUAUUCAUUGACUUGACCUCAAAUCAGGUAGGACUACCCGCUGAACUUAAGCAUAUCAAUAAGCGGAGGAAAAGAAACUAACAAGGAUUCCCCUAGUAACUGCGAGUGAAGCGGGAAAAGCUCAAAUUUUGAAUCUGGCGGUCAUUGGGCCGUCCGAGUUGUAAUCUAGAGAAGCGUCUUCCGCGCUGGACCGUGUACAAGUCUCCUGGAAGGGAGCGUCAUAGAGGGUGAGAAUCCCGUCUUUGACACGGACUGCCAGGGCUAUGUGAUGCGCUCUCGACGAGUCGAGUUGUUUGGGAAUGCAGCUCAAAAUGGGUGGUAAAUUCCAUCUAAAGCUAAAUACAGGCGAGAGACCGAUAGCGAACAAGUACCGUGAGGGAAAGAUGAAAAGAACUUUGGAAAGAGAGUUAAACAGUACGUGAAAUUGCUGAAAGGGAAACGCUUGAUGUCAGUCACGUUGACCAGGGAUCAACCUUGCUUCUCGCUGGGUGCACUUCCUGGUUGACGGGUCAGCAUCAGUUUCGAUCGCCGUACAAGGGCCAAGGGAAUGUGGCACUCUUCGGAGUGUGUUAUAGCCCAUGGUCGUAUGCGUUGAUGGGGACUGAGGAACUCGGCACGACUUUUGUCUGUGUCAAGGAUGCUGGCAUAAUGGCCUUAAGCGACCCGUCUUGAAACACGGACCAAGGAGUCUAACAUGCCUGCGAGUGUUUGGGUGGCAAACCCGAGCGCGAAAUGAAAGUGAAAGUCGAGACCUCUGUCGUGGAGGGCACCGACGCCCGGACCUGAGUCUUUGACGACGGAUCUGCGGUAGAGCAUGUAUGUUGGGACCCGAAAGAUGGUGAACUAUGCCUGAAUAGGGUGAAGCCAGAGGAAACUCUGGUGGAGGCUCGUAGCGAUUCUGACGUGCAAAUCGAUCGUCAAAUUUGGGUAUAGGGGCGAAAGACUAAUCGAACCAUCUAGUAGCUGGUUCCUGC
This 1775-nucleotide unclassified non-coding RNA is filed under the name uncultured Boletales. RNAcentral describes it as "sequence contains 18S rRNA gene, ITS1, 5.8S rRNA gene, ITS2, 28S rRNA gene". The stretch from base 815 to 1775 matches the Rfam family "Eukaryotic large subunit ribosomal RNA", at positions 1 to 961 of the family's 3401-position model. The record is from RNAcentral. Lineage: Eukaryota; Fungi; Basidiomycota; Agaricomycetes; Boletales.